This 499-nucleotide ribosomal RNA is filed under the name uncultured bacterium. RNAcentral's name for it is "partial 16S ribosomal RNA". It matches the Rfam family "Bacterial small subunit ribosomal RNA", at positions 899 to 1397 of the family's 1533-position model. The record is from RNAcentral.
ACUCAAAUGAAUAGACGGGGGCCCGCACAAGCGGUGGAGCAUGUGGUUCAAUUCGACGCAACGCGAAGAACCUUACCUAGGCUCGAAAUGCUUUGGACCAUCCCUGGAAACAGGGACUUUUCGCAAGAAACUGAAGUAUAGGUGCUGCAUGGCUGUCGUCAGCUCGUGUCGUGAGAUGUUGGGUUAAGUCCCGCAACGAGCGCAACCCUUGUCCUGUGUUGCCAUUCCGCAAGGAGGAACUCGCAGGAGACCGCCAGGGAUAACCUGGAGGAAGGUGGGGAUGACGUCAAGUCCUCAUGGCCUUUAUGUCUAGGGCUACACACGUGCUACAAUGGACGGUACAGAGGGUCGCCAACCCGCGAGGGGGAGCCAAUCCCAAAAAACCGUUCUCAGUUCGGAUUGCAGGCUGCAACUCGCCUGCAUGAAGCUGGAAUCGCUAGUAAUGCCGGAUCAGAACGCUGGCGUGAAUACGUUCCCGGGCCUUGUACACACCGCCCGU